AGGAAAGUGGCAAAAGUAACUCCUUUUAGUAUAGACCAAAACAUCCGCCCCGCUGAUAGGCAACUGGUGUUUG
Long non-coding RNA from Etheostoma cragini (Arkansas darter), 73 nucleotides. RefSeq lists it as uncharacterized. The transcript is spliced from 3 exons. NCBI's taxonomy places the organism in Eukaryota, Metazoa, Chordata, Actinopteri, Perciformes, Percidae. The record is from RefSeq and is a predicted model, not a curated record.